Molecule: non-coding RNA, 122 nt
Filed under: Paraburkholderia ginsengiterrae
Lineage: Bacteria; Pseudomonadati; Pseudomonadota; Betaproteobacteria; Burkholderiales; Burkholderiaceae
Description: Burkholderia ginsengiterrae TPP sequence
Rfam family: TPP riboswitch aptamer (THI element)
About the family: Vitamin B(1) in its active form thiamin pyrophosphate (TPP) is an essential coenzyme that is synthesised by coupling of pyrimidine and thiazole moieties in bacteria.
Source: Rfam by way of RNAcentral
UCGACGAAACAGGGGUGCUUUGCGCCGGCGGCAUGAUUCUCAUGCUGCGGUAGCGAGGCUGAGAGAGACCCUUUGCACCCGAUCCGGGUAAUACCGGCGCGGGAAGUUUCCGGAAGCAACCA